RNAcentral lists this ribosomal RNA (458 nucleotides) under uncultured bacterium. RNAcentral describes it as "bacterial SSU rRNA". It matches the Rfam family "Bacterial small subunit ribosomal RNA", at positions 340 to 786 of the family's 1533-position model. The record is from RNAcentral.
UACGGAAGGCAGCAGUGGGGAAUAUUGCACAAUGGGCGAAAGCCUGAUGCAGCUAUGCCGCGUGUAUGAAGAAGGCCUUAGGGUUGUAAAGUACUUUCAUCGGGGAGGAAAAAACAAAACUAAUAAUUUUAUUUCUUGACGUUACCCGAAAAAGAAGCACCGGCUAACUCCGUGCCAGCAGCCGCGGUAAUACGGAGGGUGCUAGCGUUAAUCAGAAUUACUGGGCGUAAAGAGCACGUAGGUGGUUUUUUAAAGUCAGAUGUGAAAUCCCUGGGCUUUAACCUAGGAACUGCAUUUUGAAACUGAAAUACUAGAGUAUCGUAGAGGGAGGUAGAAUUCUAGGUGUAGCGGUGAAAUGCGUAGAUAUCUGGAGGAAUACCUGUGGCGAAAGCGGCCUCCUAAACGAAUACUGACACUGAGGGUGCGAAAGCGUGGGGAGCAAACGAGGAUUAGAUACC